RNAcentral lists this unclassified non-coding RNA (354 nucleotides) under soil metagenome. RNAcentral's name for it is "partial contains 5.8S ribosomal RNA, internal transcribed spacer 2, and large subunit ribosomal RNA". The stretch from base 1 to 120 matches the Rfam family "5.8S ribosomal RNA", at positions 35 to 154 of the family's 154-position model. The record is from RNAcentral.
GAUGAAGAACGUAGUGAAAUGCGAUAAGUAAUGUGAAUUGCAGAAUUCCGUGAAUCAUCGAAUCUUUGAACGCACAUUGCGCCCCCUGGUAUUCCGGGGGGCAUGCCUGUCCGAGCGUCAUUUCUGCCCUCCAGCCCGGCUGGGUGUUGGGCGCUGUCCCCCCGGGGACACGCCCCAAAGGCAGUGGCGGCGCCGCGUCGGGUCCUCGAGCGUAUGGGGCUUUGUCACCCGCUCGGGACGGACUCGUCGGCGCUGGUCUUCCUCCAGGCGACCCUUCGGGGCUCGUCUUCCUUCGGUUGACCUCGGAUCAGGUAGGGUUACCCGCUGAACUUAAGCAUAUCAAUAAGCGGAGGA